AAUGCAUAGGAAUCUGCCCAUGUAGUGGGGGGACAACCUGGGGAAACUCAGGCUAAUACCGCAUGAGCCCUUCGGGGAAAGCAGGGGAUCUUCGGACCUUGCGCUAUUGGAUGAGCCUAUGCCUGAUUAGCUUGUUGGUGGGGUAACGGCCUACCAAGGCGACGAUCAGUAGCUGGUCUGAGAGGACGAUCAGCCACACUGGGACUGAGACACGGCCCAG
This 220-nucleotide ribosomal RNA is filed under the name uncultured bacterium. Its description in RNAcentral is "partial 16S ribosomal RNA". It matches the Rfam family "Bacterial small subunit ribosomal RNA", at positions 112 to 334 of the family's 1533-position model. The record is from RNAcentral.